GCCCCGGGCCCGGGGGCGCUCAGGGGGCGCUCGCACGGCGCUCCCGGGCUUUGGAGUGCCGGGGCGCCAAAGGCCCGGUAUUCUCAAGGUGAUACCGUUACUGCUGGAUAGUGUCUAAAUCCUCAGCACAGACGCAAGGCAGGCCCGCUGCUGCUCAACUGGAAAGGCUGUUCGGCUGCUUGCUGAGCAGAGGAGAAACUGAAGUACAGCUAUUAAGGUACUUCAGAAAUUGUAUUGUGGCACUAAUCCCAGGUGGAUUAGGAUGUGCAGGAAGACAAAAAGCAGGGAGAAUUCCAGUGUGACAGAGCAAUUACACUGGGGUGGUCUGGUCUUAUCAAAAGCUCCCAUUGCGAUUUUAAAGCCAGCUCCCUCAGCUAUCAACACAUUUUCUUUUGGGACUCUCACAUCUUCGAAGACAAUACCUCUUGUAUCUGAGCAGCGCUGACCCAUAUUCAUUUCCUGAAGUGGAAAUUUACAGAGGUGUUACUUGGAUUAUUCAAAGGUACAAUAUGUUUUCAUUCUUUAGUUUACUCAAAACACAGAGUAUGUUUUUCUUCUCCAAAACACUUAAUCUAAAAAUUACCAUAUACAUGACAAAUACUAGUUUUGUACUUGCAGACCAGCAUACCCUUCAUUUGUCUAAUCUGGGCAGUUUACUUUCUCUUUAUAUGAAAUCAGUUCAGUCUCUGUAACCAGUCUUCUCUAGUUUUCUCUAGUUCUUUCUCUACUUCAACUAUAUCCUUUGAGAUGAAAGUGGAAAAAGAAAACAAUGUAAUGUGCAGGCAGUGCAGAUAUACUACAAGUAAAUAAAUAAAUUAGCUUUUCAAGUUCUUAGAUUCCUUUCCUAAUGUUCAACAUCCAGUUUUACCUAAUAUUAAAAAUAGUACUUUUUUUUAAAGAGAGAACUGGUACUAGUAUCUCUAAGGCCUCUUCUUUGACCAGCAGUAGCUAAAAUUAAAGCUCACUGCCUGUGUAUUUAUGGUUGAUAUUGUCCAACUUGCUUCCUAUCCUUUCAAUGCAUAAUACUUCUCAUUUAUUGGUACUUGCCAGUAUAAUAGUUCUCAAAGAGUCUUUUGCAGCUGUUCAAAGUCAUCUUACUUUGGACCAUUCUGAACAACUCCUUAUCUGAACUAAUAACUUUAAAAUUAUGUUUUAUGAAUAGCUUCUGCAUGUUGUGAAAAUGAAAAGAUGGUUGUAAAUGAGCACAUGAAAAUGUGCAGUUGUGUAACAGUCUUUUCUCUUGAGUGGUACGUUUGUUUCAUUACUGGUUUAGAACCAAACAAUAAUUCCUAACUUGUCAAAUAAGAAAUAGUCUUCACCUUUCUUCCAAUUUGGAUCCCAGGACUAUCUGCUUCCACAAUGAAUCCAGUAAAGGCUUUGCUUGCAGGAGUUUUUGGAUCUGGAUCGGUACGUGCUAGCAAAAAAUACCUAGUGUAAACCAAAGAAGAUGGAUGCAGUUUAUCCUCACAGUUAACAACAAGAUAUAUUUAGGUAAUAUUUUAAAUGUUUUUAUGCAUGUUUAUACCACAUAAUAAAUUCUGAGUGUAAGUUAACAAACUAUAUUCCUUGCCCAUUCUAAAAAUAAACUGAGAGGGAGCCAGAGAGUGGAAGUCUCAAAGAUUCAGUAUUUAAUAACAUUUAAUAAAAUUACUUCAGAUCAACAUGCAAAGAUUCUCUACCCUUUCCAUGUAUUCUAAGUCUUUAUGGUAUUACCAGUUUCACAAAUAGUACAAAAGAAACCUAUUCACAGCAUGUACAUAAAAAUUAAUGCUUAGGAAAUACAUUCUUGGAUGUAAAAUGUUAUCAUCUGAUUUCAGAUGUCUUGAUUUUAUUCUUCUAAGUGUAAAUUGUAAAUAAGUAUUUAUCUUAGAAAUUAAACAGGUGUAAAUCAUAUUUAUGGUAUUCAGUAAUGUCAAAAGAUACCUGGUAGAUUGUCUUUGAUGGAUCUGCCUUCAACGAUGAAGUAAAUUACUAGAAAAUUCAGCUUUUGGAUAAAUGUAUAAAGUUUUUUCCACUUGAAUUAAGGAAAAUUUCUGUGUUGUGAAUCAGUGUGAUAUGAGACAUGAUGUAAGAGGUUUAUAUUGUAAAAGCAUGCUCCACAAACACAACAAUAUUUGGAAUCUCUGACAGAUGAAAAAUGUCUUCUUUUCAUAAAAUAAAAAGUAACACCACAA
Molecule: long non-coding RNA, 2174 nt
Organism: Pipra filicauda (Wire-tailed manakin)
Lineage: Eukaryota; Metazoa; Chordata; Aves; Passeriformes; Pipridae
Exons: 3
Source: RefSeq, a predicted model, not a curated record